AAAACUGAUAGGUUUGUUCCUUUUAUGAUAAUUAUUAUGAUUGAUUUUGUUCAAUUUAUACGUAACUAAACAAA
Molecule: long non-coding RNA, 74 nt
Organism: Aricia agestis (brown argus)
Lineage: Eukaryota; Metazoa; Arthropoda; Insecta; Lepidoptera; Lycaenidae
Exons: 3
Source: RefSeq, a predicted model, not a curated record